GCGAGAGUGGCGGAACUGGCAGACGCGCUGGACUUAGGAUCCAGUGGGAGAAAUCCUAUGCGGGUUCAACUCCCGCCUCUCGCA
RNAcentral lists this transfer RNA (84 nucleotides) under Bacillota bacterium. RNAcentral describes it as "tRNA-Leu". It matches the Rfam family "tRNA". From Rfam's summary of the family: Transfer RNA (tRNA) molecules are approximately 80 nucleotides in length. RNAcentral also lists the same sequence under 3 other names. The record is from RNAcentral. Lineage: Bacteria; Bacillati; Bacillota.